CCUACGGGAGGCAGCAGUGGGGAAUAUUGCACAAUGGGCGCAAGCCUGAUGCAGCCAUGCCGCGUGUAUGAAGAAGGCCUUCGGGUUGUAAAGUACUUUCAGCGGGGAGGAAGGCAGUGAGGUUAAUAACCUUACUGAUUGACGUUACCCGCAGAAGAAGCACCGGCUAACUCCGUGCCAGCAGCCGCGGUAAU
This 194-nucleotide ribosomal RNA is filed under the name uncultured bacterium. RNAcentral describes it as "partial 16S ribosomal RNA". It matches the Rfam family "Bacterial small subunit ribosomal RNA", at positions 338 to 524 of the family's 1533-position model. The record is from RNAcentral. RNAcentral also lists the same sequence under 1 other name.